Molecule: small RNA, 619 nt
Filed under: Arabidopsis thaliana (thale cress)
Lineage: Eukaryota; Viridiplantae; Streptophyta; Magnoliopsida; Brassicales; Brassicaceae
Description: ATSL102330
Source: RNAcentral
AAUGAUUUCUUGAAACAUUUUAAAGUUUCAAUUCUUUAAAAUAAAAAAUCCGAGUAAAAUCAGAUAACUAUUUUAAUUUUGGACGCCUGAUAAAUCAAGCUUCCUGCUCAUUCGUAAUUAGAAUCAUUUUGGUCCUUUUAUAAUAUGGGUCUGAACCAUUGUAACAGAUAGAUAUUUGAAUAUUCAGUAUAUUUUGCUUCAGUUUAGGAAAUCUUUGAUGACUUGUCUUUAGAUUCAAUAAGCCUUUUAAUCUAGAUAUUAACUUGCAGUAUACCGCAGGUAGGCUUAUAUUUUAGUUCAACUAAAAACUUUUAUUGUAAAGAUGAUUUAAAAGUAUAUGAUAUUAUUUUAUUUGAUUUUAAAUGUAUAGUAAACUGUGAGUUGUAUAUAUUUUGUUGAUAUUAUCUAUAUUGUUUAGUGUUUAAGAUUAUACACUUGUAGCUUGAUUUUUAAUUUAAGAGUUUCACCUGUAGUAUACCAUCUUGUAUUAAUAUCGAUCUAAACCCGUCAAUUCUAGGAUUUUUCAGCUUGUAUUAAAAAUUGAAUCACAUCUAAUAUGUUAUUACUUAUUGUAGUAUAUAAGAUUAUAAAUUUUCAAUAUAAUAUGUAUAAAAUUGAA